CUGGCCGUAAACGAUGAACACUAGAUGUUGGGGGAAUCGACCCCUCCGGUGUCGUAGCUAACGCGUUAAGUGUUCCGCCUGGGGAGUACGCACGCAAGUGUGAAACUCAAAGGAAUUGACGGGGGCCCGCACAAGCGGUGGAGUAUGUGGUUUAAUUCGAUGCAACGCGAAGAACCUUACCAAGGCUUGACAUCCUGCGAAUCUCCAAGAAAUUGGAGAGUGCCUUCGGGAACGCAGUGACAGGUGGUGCAUGGCUGUCGUCAGCUCGUGUCGUGAGAUGUUGGGUUAAGUCCCGCAACGAGCGCAACCCACGUUUUUAGUUGCCAGCAUUCAGUUGGGCACUCUAGAAAGACUGCCGGUGACAAACCGGAGGAAGGUGUGGACGACGUCAAGUCAUCAUGCCCCUUACGCCUUGGGCUACACACGUACUACAAUGCUGCGGACAAAGAGUAGCGAUCUUGCGAAAGUUAGCUAAUCUCGUAAACCGUGGCUCAGUUCAGAUCGUAGGCUGCAACUCGCCUACGUGAAGGAGGAAUCGCUAGUAAUCGCAGGUCAGCAUACUGCGGUGAAUACGUUCCCGGGCCUUGUACACACCGCCCGUCACACCAUGGAAGUUGGCCAUGCCCGAAGUCGUUACUCUAACCUUUUGGAAGAGGGCGCCGAAGGCAGGGCUAAUGACUGGGGUGAAGUCGUAACAAGGUAGCCGUAGCGGAAGCUGCGGCUGGAUCACCUCCUAA
RNAcentral lists this ribosomal RNA (737 nucleotides) under Candidatus Synechococcus spongiarum. RNAcentral describes it as "bacterial SSU rRNA". It matches the Rfam family "Bacterial small subunit ribosomal RNA", at positions 796 to 1533 of the family's 1533-position model. The record is from RNAcentral. Lineage: Bacteria; Bacillati; Cyanobacteriota; Cyanophyceae; Synechococcales; Synechococcaceae.